This 491-nucleotide ribosomal RNA is filed under the name uncultured bacterium. RNAcentral's name for it is "partial 16S ribosomal RNA". It matches the Rfam family "Bacterial small subunit ribosomal RNA", at positions 28 to 507 of the family's 1533-position model. The record is from RNAcentral.
GAUGAACGCUGGCUACAGGCUUAACACAUGCAAGUCGAGGGGAAACGACGGGGAAGCUUGCUUCCCCGGGCGUCGACCGGCGCACGGGUGAGUAACGCGUAUCCAACCUGCCUCUGACUGAGGGAUAACCCGUCGAAAGUCGGCCUAAUACCUCAUGGCAUCGUCUGCGGGCAUCCAACGACGAUUAAAGAUUUCAUCGGUCAGGGAUGGGGAUGCGUCUGAUUAGCUUGUUGGCGGGGUAACGGCCCACCAAGGCUACGAUCAGUAGGGGUUCUGAGAGGAAGGUCCCCCACAUUGGAACUGAGACCCGGUCCAAACUCCUACGGGAGGCAGCAGUGUGGAAUAUUGGUCAAUGGGCGGGAGCCUGAACCAGCCAAGUAGCGUGCAGGAUGACGGCCCUCUGGGUUGUAAACUGCUUUUAUGCGGGGAUAAAGUGAGGGACGUGUCCUUCAUUGCAGGUACCGCAUGAAUAAGGACCGGCUAAUUCCGUG